GAGGGUAUAGCUCAAAUGGUAGAGUGCAUGCUUAGCAUGCAUGAGGUCCUCGGUUCAUUCCCCAGUACCUCCU
Camelus ferus (Wild Bactrian camel) is the source of this 73-nucleotide transfer RNA. It matches the Rfam family "tRNA". From Rfam's summary of the family: Transfer RNA (tRNA) molecules are approximately 80 nucleotides in length. Lineage: Eukaryota; Metazoa; Chordata; Mammalia; Artiodactyla; Camelidae. The record is from Rfam.